CUACGGGUCGCUCCAGUGAGGAAUUUUGCGCAAUGGGGGAAACCCUGACGCAGCAACGCCGCGUGAGUGAAGAAGGCCCUUGGGUCGUAAAGCUCUGUCAAUGGGGAAGAAGUUACUUCAUAUUAAUAGUAUGUUGUAUUGACGGUACCCAUGAAGGAAGCACCGGCUAACUCCGUGCCAGCAGCCGCGGUAAUACGGGGGGUGCAAGCGUUAUUCGGAAUUAUUGGGCGUAAAGGGCACGCAGGCGGUCCUGUCAGUCAGAUGUGAAAGCCCGGGGCUCAACCCCGGACGUGCAUUUGAAACAGCAGGACUUGAGUACGGGAGAGGAAAGGGGAAUGCCUGGUGUAGAGGUGAAAUUCGUAGAUAUCAGGAGGAACACCGGUGGCGAAGGCGCCUUUCUGGACCGAUACUGACGCUGAGGUGCGAAGGCGUGGGUAGCGAACGGGAUUAGAUACCCGCGUAGUC
This 465-nucleotide ribosomal RNA is filed under the name uncultured bacterium. RNAcentral describes it as "partial 16S ribosomal RNA". It matches the Rfam family "Bacterial small subunit ribosomal RNA", at positions 339 to 795 of the family's 1533-position model. The record is from RNAcentral.